AUUCUGAUGUCUUACGGACCACCUGUGGUCCACGGCACACUGUGGGAACCACUGGUUUAGAGAAUGCCGAACUCUAGAAGUCGUUCCGAAUUUCGUUUUUGGAUCUCUACCUAUUAGCGAAAAAGUUUGGUAUAACUUGAAAACUACCGGCCCUAGGUCAGGUCAGGUAUUUGCACAGCAGCACUUGGUGGAACCAUUAAUCAGAAUCGACGCAGACGUCGUCGACAUUGUCCUUUCACAGUGAUAUUUUCACGCUUUUCAUAAUUUGACAGUUUUAUUACACGCUGUUGGCUGAUAAAUAAGCGCAAUUUAAAUUCAAUUACCCCGUACUUUAAAUAAAUAUUUGCCUUAAGAAUUAA
Long non-coding RNA from Tribolium castaneum (red flour beetle), 359 nucleotides. RefSeq lists it as uncharacterized. NCBI's taxonomy places the organism in Eukaryota, Metazoa, Arthropoda, Insecta, Coleoptera, Tenebrionidae. The transcript is spliced from 2 exons. The record is from RefSeq and is a predicted model, not a curated record.